RNAcentral lists this ribosomal RNA (588 nucleotides) under Aureobasidium pullulans. Its description in RNAcentral is "eukaryotic LSU rRNA". It matches the Rfam family "Eukaryotic large subunit ribosomal RNA", at positions 50 to 652 of the family's 3401-position model. The record is from RNAcentral. Lineage: Eukaryota; Fungi; Ascomycota; Dothideomycetes; Dothideales; Saccotheciaceae.
GCGGAGGAAAAGAAACAAACAGGGGAUUGCCCUAGUAACGGCGAGUGAAGCGGCAACAGCUCAAAUUUGAAAGCUAGCCUUCGGGUUCGCAUUGUAAUUUGUAGAGGAUGAUUUGGGGAAGCCGCCUGUCUAAGUUCCUUGGAACAGGACGUCAUAGAGGGUGAGAAUCCCGUAUGUGACAGGAAAUGGCACCCUAUGUAAAUCUCCUUCGACGAGUCGAGUUGUUUGGGAAUGCAGCUCUAAAUGGGAGGUAAAUUUCUUCUAAAGCUAAAUAUUGGCGAGAGACCGAUAGCGCACAAGUAGAGUGAUCGAAAGAUGAAAAGCACUUUGGAAAGAGAGUUAAAAAGCACGUGAAAUUGUUGAAAGGGAAGCGCUUGCAAUCAGACUUGUUUAAACUGUUCGGCCGGUCUUCUGACCGGUUUACUCAGUUUGGACAGGCCAGCAUCAGUUUCGGCGGCCGGAUAAAGGCUCUGGGAAUGUGGCCUCCACUUCGGUGGAGGUGUUAUAGCCCAGGGUGUAAUACGGCCAGCCGGGACUGAGGUCCGCGCUUCGGCUAGGAUGCUGGCGUAAUGGUUGUAAGCGACCCGU